This 501-nucleotide ribosomal RNA is filed under the name uncultured bacterium. RNAcentral describes it as "partial 16S ribosomal RNA". It matches the Rfam family "Bacterial small subunit ribosomal RNA", at positions 30 to 523 of the family's 1533-position model. The record is from RNAcentral.
AUUGAACGCUGGCGGCAUGCCUUACACAUGCAAGUCGAACGGCAGCACGGGUGCUUGCACCUGGUGGCGAGUGGCGAACGGGUGAGUAAUACAUCGGAACGUACCUUAUCGUGGGGGAUAACGCAGCGAAAGUUGCGCUAAUACCGCAUACGCCCUGAGGGGGAAAGCGGGGGACCGUAAGGCCUCGCGCGAUUAGAGCGGCCGAUGUCUGAUUAGCUUGUUGGGGAGGUAAAAGCUCACCAAGGCGAUGAUCAGUAGCUGAUCGGAGAGGAAGAUCAGCCACACUGGGACUGAGACACGUCCCAGACUCCUACGGGAGGCAUCAUUGGGGAAUUGUGGACAAUGGGGGCAACCCUGAUCCAGCAAUGCCGCGUGAGUGAAGAAGGCCUUCGGGUUGUAAAGCGCUUUUGUAAGGGAAGAAACAGCAGAUCGAACACAGUCUGCGAAUGACGGUACCUGAAGAAUAAGCACCGGCUAACUACGUGCCAGCAGCCGCGGUAA